UAUUAUUCUAAGAUAGUGAGUAAACCCUAGGUUAGUAAUAGAUAUUUACUUAAAAUCUAAAAAAUUUGGCGGUAAUUUAAUCUUUCCAGAGGAACUUGUUUUUUGAUCGAUAAUCCCCGAAAUAUCUUACUUAUUUAAAGAUAAAGUUUGUAUACCGUCAUUAUUAGGUAAUUUUUAAAAAAUUAAUUACUAAAUUUAAAAAAUUAAUAAAAUUAGACCAUGGUGCAGCUAAUGAAUAAGUUUAAAUGAGUUACAAUAAAUUAUUUUAUACGAAACAAAUAGAUGAAUAUUUAUUUAGAAGGAGGAUUUGGUUGUAUUUUGAGUUUAAUAAGCUUGAAAGAUGGUAGCUCUAAAUUAUGUACAUAU
RNAcentral lists this ribosomal RNA (366 nucleotides) under Orthotheres barbatus. RNAcentral's name for it is "partial 12S ribosomal RNA". The record is from RNAcentral. Lineage: Eukaryota; Metazoa; Arthropoda; Malacostraca; Decapoda; Pinnotheridae.